GUGCUCACUUACUUCAGUAGCAUAUAUACUAAAAUUGGAAAGGUACAGGUGAGAUUAACAUGGCCCCUGCACAAAUUUAUGAAGUGUUCCAUUUUAAAAAAAAUAAAAUAAAA
Molecule: non-coding RNA, 113 nt
Organism: Chlorocebus sabaeus (green monkey)
Lineage: Eukaryota; Metazoa; Chordata; Mammalia; Primates; Cercopithecidae
Source: Rfam